This 122-nucleotide small nucleolar RNA is filed under the name Moschus moschiferus (Siberian musk deer). Lineage: Eukaryota; Metazoa; Chordata; Mammalia; Artiodactyla; Moschidae. The record is from RNAcentral.
AAAGAUUUGAGUUCAGUUCAGGGCAGCUUCCCUGUUCUAUUAAUUAAACUUUGGGACAUUGAAACACAGGCUAGGAGGGAUGGAAAGCAUUACUCUAUUCAUAUACCGCCUAGCCUACAGAU